This 492-nucleotide ribosomal RNA is filed under the name uncultured bacterium. RNAcentral's name for it is "partial 16S ribosomal RNA". It matches the Rfam family "Bacterial small subunit ribosomal RNA", at positions 29 to 507 of the family's 1533-position model. The record is from RNAcentral.
AGUGAACGCUGGCGGUAGGCCUAACACAUGCAAGUCGAACGGCAGCACAGUAAGAGCUUGCUCUUACGGGUGGCGAGUGGCGGACGGGUGAGGAAUACAUCGGAAUCUACUUUUUCGUGGGGGAUAACGUAGGGAAACUUACGCUAAUACCGCAUACGACCUACGGGUGAAAGCAGGGGAUCUUCGGACCUUGCGCGAUUGAAUGAGCCGAUGCCGGAUUAGCUAGUUGGCGGGGUAAAGGCCCACCAAGGCGACGAUCCGUAGCUGGUCUGAGAGGAUGUACAGCCACACUGGAACUGAGACACGGUCCAGACUCCUACGGGAGGCAGCAGUGGGGAAUAUUGGACAAUGGGCGCAAGCCUGAUCCAGCCAUACCGCGUGGGUGAAGAAGGCCUUCGGGUUGUAAAGCCCUUUUGUUGGGAAAGAAAAGCAGCAGGUUAAUACCCCGCUGUUCUGACGGUACCCAAAGAAUAAGCACCGGCUAACUUCGUG